UCCGAUCGGAAUAUGAGAAACAAUAAGCUGACAUUUCUAAAGCAAUAGCCACUUUUAGGGAGGUUAGUUUUAUUCUUCGUUACACCAUAUUUUAAACAUUAUAAUGCUGCCUGUCUUACGACGCGAAAGAGAAAGACAACGCCUUCAAGCGAUACAGGCAAAUAAAAUUAUGAGAAGGAGAAUAAGAUAUAUGCUUGACCCAUUUAGUCUGUCUGAGAACCAAUUCGUUGGGUUGUAUCGUCUCACAAAAAAUCUGACAAGUUCUCAUACAAGCACUGGAACCACAUCUUCCUCUACGCAGAAGCCCUCUAGCAAUUCCAAAUGAAUCCAGAUCUCACUCGCUCCACUCUCGUUAUCGUAAGCACCCUCUGUUAAGCCAGCGGCACACGGUGCUUGUU
Harpegnathos saltator (Jerdon's jumping ant) is the source of this 398-nucleotide long non-coding RNA. RefSeq lists it as uncharacterized. The record is from RefSeq and is a predicted model, not a curated record. Lineage: Eukaryota; Metazoa; Arthropoda; Insecta; Hymenoptera; Formicidae. The transcript is spliced from 3 exons.